GGGCCUGUAGCUCAGUUUGGUUAGAGCGCCGGUCUUAUAAACUUCCUGCCUUGAAUUCAAAUCUCUUCAGGCCCA
Molecule: transfer RNA, 75 nt
Rfam family: tRNA
About the family: Transfer RNA (tRNA) molecules are approximately 80 nucleotides in length. Their secondary structure includes four short double-helical elements and three loops (D, anti-codon, and T loops).